RNAcentral lists this transfer RNA (61 nucleotides) under fish gut metagenome. It matches the Rfam family "tRNA", at positions 6 to 62 of the family's 71-position model. Rfam says of the family: Transfer RNA (tRNA) molecules are approximately 80 nucleotides in length. The record is from RNAcentral.
CUAUAGCUCAGCUGGAUAGAGCAACGGCCUUCUAAGCCGUAGGUCUGAGGUUCGAAUCCUC